RNAcentral lists this ribosomal RNA (490 nucleotides) under uncultured bacterium. RNAcentral describes it as "partial 16S ribosomal RNA". It matches the Rfam family "Bacterial small subunit ribosomal RNA", at positions 30 to 507 of the family's 1533-position model. The record is from RNAcentral.
AUUGAACGCUGGCGGCAGGCCUAACACAUGCAAGUCGAACGGGAACAGGAAGCAGCUUGCUGCUUCGCUGACGAGUGGCGGACGGGUGAGUAAUGUCUGGGAAGCUGCCUGAUGGAGGGGGAUAACUACUGGAAACGGUAGCUAAUACCGCAUAAUGUCGCAGGACCAAAGAGGGGGACCUUCGGGCCUCUUGCCAUCGGAUGUGCCCAGAUGGGAUUAGCUUGUUGGUGGGGUAACGGCUCACCAAGGCGACGAUCCCUAGCUGGUCUGAGAGGAUGACCAGCCACACUGGAACUGAGACACGGUCCAGACUCCUACGGGAGGCAGCAGUGGGGAAUAUUGCACAAUGGGCGCAAGCCUGAUGCAGCCAUGCCGCGUGUAUGAAGAAGGCCUUCGGGUUGUAAAGUACUUUCAGCGGGGAGGAAGGGAGUAAAGUUAAUACCUUUGCUCAUUGACGUUACCCGCAGAAGAAGCACCGGCUAACUCCGUG